UUUUUUUAUUCGUCCGAAGUGUAGUCAAGUCAGAUUUCAUAUCUUAAUCUCAUCAUUUUCAUGUCUACCUAAAAAAUAUGGCCUAUACCAUCUCUGUGUUGGCAACAUUACCGGUUAUCAUGGCUGUGCUUCUCUACCAACUCGGUACGUUCCCUCCAGCUCAAUAUCCCGAUCACGAGUUGACUCCAAAGCAGCUCCUAUUCGUGCCUAAACGAAACACUCACAUGCUUCAUGGCUCGGAAAAAAUCGGGGCCGGUCAGCUGCUGGGGCCAGAAGAUAUGGCUUAUGAUCCCAUCACCGGAAUUAUAUACACCGGCACAACCGAUGGGUGGAUCAACCGAGUCACGGUUACUAGUCGGCAGCUGAGUCUAAGGUGGAGAGAUGGGUCAACACCGGCGGCCGACCACUUGGACUUGUUCAUGGACAUCAUGGUGAAGUCAUCAUAGCAGAUGCUGUUAAAGUUAGUAAUAAACAAAUUUAUAAUAAAAUUUGAUUACCCAAAUUGUCUAUUCUUUGAGAUCAUCGCCCGGUUCAGGUCAGUCCUCGCUGUUGGCUUAAUACAUCAAAACAAUAUUUGAAUAUUCUCAUAUUCUAACAAUUUAUUUAUGGUGCCCAUUUGGUCAUGGAUUAAGAAAACUUUGGUGCCCAUUUGGUCCUCAUUAAAUUUUACUUUUUUUUUUCUGUCUCAUUUUCAAUCAUUUUUAUUUUUUUAACCAUUCAUUUUAUUUUCAAUAUUUCAUAAAAUAAUAUAACAUGUAAAUCGAAAAUUUUUAUUUUUUUUUAAAAGCUCAUUUUUAAAAAAAAAAUAAUAUUUCCCACAUUCUCAUUUGAAAAAAUGAGGGCAAAACGGGGCGUGACGUUGACUUUGCACAUGAUAAGAGUACUUCAAUUUUUAAACGGGGCCUAUGUGGCCUGUUUAACUAGCGGGUCCAUAAAUUUCGUGGUCCUCUAUGAAAUAAGGUUGGUUAGUCAAUUGGUCAUCGAACUUUUCAUUGAGUUAAAUCUCCUUGAAUUAUAAUUCAUUUAUUAAUUCCCUGAAAACUAUUAAAAGUUUUGCCCAUCCAGUAUUAAAGUGGAUUCUGUUUGGAAAAAAAUGGUUUUACACAACAAGAAGUUUAAUGACAUUUUAGAAACAUCAAGACGCUGUUCGAAUUAUUGAAACAGAACAAUAAAAAAAAAAAAGUUAGAGUCGAAUGAAUAAAUAGAUAGUGUCAAUGGCUUCAAUUAGUUAUUGAAACGAAAAAGCAACAAGCUUCUCGAGCCAAUAUUGAAACACCAAGUGCUAUGGUACUGAAGUAACUCUUGUCAUACUUUCAGAAAAAGCUCGAACGAUCUUUAAGCAAAAGGGUACUUGUACCCGAAAUCGAUACAGGUGGGUAGAGUAGAGAAUAUCUAGGGAUGCGAGACAAUCUGCUCUAAGGAACUCUGCAAAAUAGCCCCUUAACUUCGUGAGAAGGCUAUUUAUUCUUGUUGGACAAAGUUAACAUCUUUGAUAUGUCACAUAAGAAUUAUACAGGGGACAUUUGUUUGUAUUGCAAGGGUUACUAAAUGCGAGCAGAGAUGGCACAAUAGAGAUGCUGACUGAUGAAGCUGAUGGUCUAAAAUUCAAGCUAAGAGAUGCUGCUGAUAUUACUCUUGAUGGCAUUCUUUACUUUACAGAUGCUUCUUCUCAAUAAGCUCUCCACGAUUUUUUGUUUGAUUUUUCAGAAGGCAGACCGCAUGGCAGAUUCAUGACUUAUGAUCCGUCUACCAAACAAACAAAAGUUUCUAUUGCGUGGUUUGUAGUAAUUUCACCAGAUCAACAUUUUGUUAUAUUUUGCGAGACUACCAUGUAAGUUUUUCUUUACAUGCUAAUAAUUGACAUGUUUGGUACCAUACUAUAGCAUCCUUGACAAGGUUGAUGUUGUAAUUGAUUGCACUGCAGGAGAAUGUGUAAAAGGUAUUACAUAAAAGGUGAGAAGAGAGGAUCUCUGGAUACAUUUAUUGAAAAUUUACCUGGACUGCCUGACAACAUUCGAUACGAUGGAGAAGGCUGAUACUGGAUUGCAUUAACCACGGAAUGACUUAAAACACAUUCUUCUUCCACUAAACUUCUUAUAUUGUCCG
Molecule: long non-coding RNA, 2106 nt
Filed under: Olea europaea subsp. europaea
Lineage: Eukaryota; Viridiplantae; Streptophyta; Magnoliopsida; Lamiales; Oleaceae
Source: RNAcentral